GUCUGGCUGGCUCAGUCGGAAGACCAUGUGACUUUGGAUCUCAGGGCUGUGAGUUUGAGUCCCACGCUGGGUA
This 73-nucleotide transfer RNA is filed under the name Mustela putorius furo (domestic ferret). It matches the Rfam family "tRNA". Rfam says of the family: Transfer RNA (tRNA) molecules are approximately 80 nucleotides in length. Their secondary structure includes four short double-helical elements and three loops (D, anti-codon, and T loops). The record is from Rfam by way of RNAcentral. Lineage: Eukaryota; Metazoa; Chordata; Mammalia; Carnivora; Mustelidae.